Non-coding RNA from Callithrix jacchus (white-tufted-ear marmoset), 6493 nucleotides. Lineage: Eukaryota; Metazoa; Chordata; Mammalia; Primates; Cebidae. The record is from RefSeq and is a predicted model, not a curated record.
GGGACAGAGACAGGGAGAGAGAGAGAUAGCGAGGAAAGAAGAAAGCACAGGGUCACAGGAAGACUGACGGGCAAAGACACAGUUACAGACCUAUGAACAGAGCCGCACGCCAAACAGGGACAAACCGUUGAGGUCUCACCACUCAGUACCGCAGCAUCUUUCUCCAGGAUCCCAGUGACAUGUGACCUCAUCUGCCUCUCUGCGUACCCUUAGCAGUAUAACCUCAAGCCAGAGGAUGGACCCAGGCAGUCCCCACCUGAUGACUGUUGGUCUUGACUGUGUGCCUCACAUUCAGAGUCUUCUCAGGUCCUACCUCCCGCCCUGUCACUGGGCAGCACAUGUCAUGGGGUGUGGCAGAACUGUGACCGGUUGCUCAGCAGCCCCAGGCAGAAGAGGAUAUGGAUGUGGUGUCAGGCAGAAAAUGCCCCCUGACCAAAACCUGCUGGCAUGACAUGGGAUGAAGCCCUGUCCGCCCCACCCUGGUGCUGUAAUGCCAGUACACCCUGGAAGCCUCCUGUCCUGGGCAGGUUGUCCCCCUCAGCGCUCUGCUUUCUGACUUUGGGCUUGUUUCUUUUCUCUUCAAUGAAACUGCAAGCUCCUCAGAGUUGGAGUUCAUUGGAUCCUUCCAGCCCUUCGCACAUUAGGAUACAUGAGCUGAGCCUCAGUGCAAUGGAAACAACUCACCUCUGAGCUGGUGCUUGGGGACAUUAGGCUCGGAAGUCCCAGGACAAAACAUCUGUGUUCUUCGAAGGAAAAUAUGAGAAGACAUCCCCAUGGCCUUUGCUGAAGCACAGAAUAUACAUUCUGUUCACACUGGUGGUGACAGAAUGAUAGUACUGAGAGCAUCUUUAUGUAAUGAUGAGUCUAAAAGGCAGCCUCGGCUCUCAGAUCGAAUGUUCACCUUCACCAGGGCUCAACUGGCUCCGGGGGCAUCUAAUAGAGUUCUGCAGCUUAGGAAGGUACCACUGGCUCUAUUUUGCUGGAGUGCCCAUUCUGUGAUUGAUUGGAGCUGAGCAUGAUACCUUCGGGCUGUGUUCUGUUCUAUCACCGAGAUGAUCCAAAGUCACUUCCUCUCUCUCAGUGACUGACCCUGCUCAGGUCUGGGGCAGUCUCUGCUCCCUGCCAGCAUCACUGGUCUAAAAACCCUAUGAGUCAGUUGUAUGGCUACUGGCACUCGUGCUGCUCUCAAUGAUCUAUGCUCAUCGAAAGCAGCAGAAGUCCCCAAGACCAACAUCAAGUUCUACUUAUGUAACUUGAAUAGCCACUUCGCCAGCCUCUACCUACAAAAUAAAGCUCUAUAUUUCCUAUUAAUAGCAGCAACCUCAGCACCUAGAAGCUGGACCCACUCACUGUGUCUCCUGGUUAUUUCUGGAGUCUCUGAGGGGUGACCUCACAAACAAGGGUGGUAAUGGUGGUCACCACACUGACUGCCUUGUCACCCUCUCUGCUUUGCUCCCCCUUCACCUCUCUGCUACCUGCUGCCUCCAUAGGUAUUGAGAGAUGUCUCAUUGGGAUCACUGUCCCUACAGGAAUGCCCAACCUGCCAAUUCUGGGUCUUCCCAAAGCUGGCAACUGGGCAGAGCAGAAGGACUCUUCUCUCCGCCCCUGAGGUGCAUGCAUGCCCUGGGCUGCACAGCAGGCCUGCUCUGCCCCACGGUCUUGCAACUUCUCUCCCAAACAUUUAACCAGCUUCUGGCCCUUGCUCAUUAAACAGAAUCUCACUGCAUCUCAAGAAAAAUAGUCCUGUCACUUUCUGGCCCCCCUUCCUUCAACUACAGAAGCUCAGAACCAGCCCCAGCGUUGGGAAGGGUGAAGAAGUCAUCGCAUCAUUUCUGUGUUCAUCAGGACUCUGAAGACAUAAAUGACAGAAACCCAGAGCAAAUUCGCAUAAACAAAAAUGGGACCCAUUUGGUAGGGAAGCUAAGAAGGCUUCUGGAACAGGUCACCAGUCUGAGGAAGAGCUGCAGAAAGCAGAGCCUUGGGGUGGGCCCCACCCAGACAGUCCGUCUCCAUGUGGCAGAGGGGUGUCCACUGGUGUCCCAAAUUCACAUUCUCCUGUUCAUCAACCCUGCUGAAGAAGGACUCUUCUUUCCCGGUGGCUACUUAUAUAUAAAACCAAGAAAAUACCAAGAGCAGCUCUGCUUGGGUCUGCUGUUGAUUUUGGAGGUGGCUGCCCUGGAAUUAGGUGCUAGACAUGUCUGGGGUACAGUGAGAUCUGUCACCAGCCAAAGAGGGGAUCACAGCCAGUAGUACCAAGCCUCCAUGCUCCGUAGCCCACCCCCUCCUCUCUCUGGCUUCCGUGCCGGCCAUCUCUCUGCUUUAUUCCUGGAUAAGGCACUGAGGUGGUGGGGGUGGAAGUGGCAAAGUUAAAUAUGUUGUCUAUCCUACCAGUGUCUGCACCUGCCUUCAGAUACCUCAAAGUGACUUGUUACAUUUUUCUUUGGCAUAUUUAAUUGUCUUCUUUUGUCCUGUUUCCCCAGCAUGCUGCCUGUCUGCUGAGUGGGGUGUGGGCUGCUGCCCUGAGGGGUGUGGGGUCAGUGCCGGGCAGCAGCCUCGGCAUGUCACCCUCCAUGGGACACUUGGGUCUCUUUGGUCAGUGCCACAGCUGUGCCACCUCUGUGUCAAGGCAUAGUGGGCUCUGCUUUGCCCAGUUAUUUCUGACUCAGAUACUCUGAGGACAUGAAACAGGACUUUUAAAAUUUAGUGUAAGGAGAGGACAUGUUGCCCCUGCUUCAGCCUGGGAGAGCCUCUUCCUUCCUCUUCUCCCUCCUAGUGCAGGGGAGGCUGACAGGAGGCAGCUGGGCUGGUCCCUGCUCCUUCUAGAGGAGGCGAGGCAGUGUGGAAGGCAGAGCCAGCCAGGCCCUGGUUGCUAUCGGUGUGGGAGCACUCCCCUCCCUCUGGGGUCUGAGCCCCUCUGAUCAGCACCUUGACCUCUGCUCUCCCACCUCACCUUGUUCCUCUCCUGCUCCAGUCUGGGUAGGGGAGAACCCAUGCUCCUCAACUCUCCUUUCUCUCAAACUCUGAUUCUUCCCUCAUCUGACCUCUCCCUUUUCUAAAGCCUCAGGCCUGUGAAACCUGCACAUCUUUAUUUUUUCCUGCCCUCUGUCAUUCCUUCCCUGAAGCAAAAGGCAUAGGUUGUCCUAGCUGCUUGACGGCAUUGGGAAAACAAUGGAGAAAUACUGGGUCGAAGUGAGUGUCUGGACCUGCCAUUCCACAAUGCCAUCCAGCUCAUGUGGGCCCCACUCCCAGGAUGGGGAUGAGGUAGCAUUAGCCCAGUUCCCACUGGCUCCGCCUGGGAGACGGGGGCCGGAAGUGGCUUCAGUCCUGUGUUCUUCAUCAAGUUGAUUGACAUCUGUGCGUCUCUCCUGGAGCUCCUUCCCUCUAGUACUCCCACCCUUCAUGGGAUACGGGAAACAGCUGGGAUAAACAGCAUGGAAGCCUGCCUGCCUCCGAAAAUGAAGCUCCUCCCAGCCUGUGGGGCUCUCAGACUGCACUUCACAGACGCAGUCAUGGGCACUUUGAGAAUUGAUGGGCUCAAGGCCGCUUAUUUGUAACCAGAUACUGCGUGAUCCAAAGCAGGGGAGGGCGUCAGCCUCCCUGUGAAGGUGUCUGGUCAGAGCUUUCGAGGAGUCGGCCCUGUCUUGGGGAAGCUCCCCUUGCCUGGCUUGCGUGGGCCAAUGCUUUGUCUUUGGGCCUUGCUGGGAGGAAAGGAGAUAGGCUCUGAUGGGCAGAGGCGGCUACUGUGCUUUCUCAAGUGUGUGAGCAUGGUCCUUUAGGAACAGCUCAGGGGACUAAUUGGGGGCUUCUGCAUGGGAAAUGUCACUGUGAUUUGUCAAGUCCUAUCAGUAGCCAUUGGAAGGUGACAAGUCACUGGAGAACUCACUGCUUAACCACUGGUUAACCAGGAAGCCUGGACAGAGGCUGCCACUCACGCAUCAGAGUGUGCCGCAUUAGGGCAAGUAACUGGGCCUCCUUCCAGGCUGUAACUAGAAGGGAAAUGGGGUGAGCUACAGCAGAGGAUGGCUUAUGUUUCUGCAAACUCACUGAGUUUCUCAGGGCCCGAUGACGCUGUCUGAAGGAACUUCAGAAAACUGGGGACUAGAAGGGCCCUGCAGCAAUUCACAAGUAAUUCAGCAAGAGUGGCUACUCUCUGGCCCUGUGCCAUUACUCAGUGGGGAACAGAACAGACCCAACCACCUCAUGAAGCUUCCCUGGAGCAGUGGAGACAGACGCUGAAUGCAUACAUUAGAGUUGUAGACAGAAUGAUGGCAGGUGUGCAGAGCUGCAGAGGACAGAUGGGUGCCCCUGGCAGGAAGCACAUCUUGGGGAGUGUUUGUGAACUUUCCAGGGAGGACCUGGGCCCUUUCUUCUCCCCAUCGGCCCUUGAGCCCCUCUCAGGUUCCAUUCCUCAUCCUCCUGUUUAAUUUCUUCAAGAGCUGCUUCCCCAGCCUGGCUAAUUCAGCAUGGGCUGAAGAGAUGGAGCAAGUGAGGGAGAUUGUCAGUGCUUGGAAGAUGACUGAGCUCCUUUCCCUGCUCAGAGAUCAGGCUGCUGAUCUCUGCUGGCCCUCAGUUCCAGACCUCUCCAACAGCUCUCCAAAAAAAAGGGGCCCUUUUCUGCCCUUCCUCAUGGCCAUCUGGCAGCCAUGAAUUAAUUCCUGAACUACCUUUACCUCCUAGACAUGGCAUUAAAACCCUAAUGGAUGGUACUAGUUUUCUUUCCCAGUUUUUAAUUACUUAGUGAGACUGGUUUUCCUUUAUAAGGAGUAGAUCUGAGACAGGUUUGAUAGGAAAAAGGUGGUCCAUGGCGUGAAAAUGGGAUUGCCAACUGCCUUCGGCUGAAGGCUGAUAGAGAAAUUGCAGAAUGCAUCUCAGAAGUGUUUAUUAGCAUCCUGAUGAAGAUAAAUGAGAGAUCUGAAAGGCAGUCUUCCAGAAGUGUUAGCAAUUUGUGCCCUGCAUGAAUCAAUUGCUCUUCCUACAAAGCACUUCAGCCUCCCUUUUCCGAAUCUGGGCUUAAAAAGAGAGCCCCACUGGAUGCAUAUGGCUCUGUCCCCAGCACUUGGCAAGGGGCUCAGUACGUAGCUGCUGAAUAAAGUCAUUCCUCACUUGUGGGCCUGCAGGGGGCGUUUGGAUGAGCGCUUGCAAAAAGCUACAGGUGUUCUCUCCAGAACAGUGCACCAUCGCAAAGACAAGCACACAGCCUGAAGGGCACCUUAGGACUGGCAAGCUCUCUGAAAUCUAUCCUUGGUCCUCUCUGGGUCCUCCUCCUGGGCCACAGUUUAUGUCUGUCAAGCGCCCUUGCAUGUAUGGUAUGCCCAGUACCCAUCAAACGCUUCUGUUUCUGUUUUUCUUGAAUACUAGGUGGUGGUGCAGAUUGGGUUGGGAAGGCCCAGGUGUGGAGCCAUGUCUAAUCUGCUGCUGCCUAACUGGGCUGCUAGGCGCCCAGCAAAUGUUGACUUCUCCUGUUUUUCAGCAGUUGGGAAGAUGUGGCAAAACAGGACCUAUAUUCCUUAUGGCAGCAGCAAGCUGGAUGGAGUGUCUGCAGCCUGCUUUAGGCAGGGCACGGUUGUGCAGUCUGUCACCAUCCCUCACCAUCCCCAUCAAUGCUGGCAUUAAUCCCACUUCUAUUUAUCACCUCAUCUGAUCAGCUGUUUUCUUAUAGCAGAGUUAAGUUAAAAAAAGUUUGUUCCUGAAGACAAAGACGUAUAUCUUGAAACAGAAGCUCCCUCUUUCUAUAUAUAUGUACGUAUAUACAUUUACACAUACAUGCAUACACAUAUAUAUUUAUUAUAUAUUUUUCCUCUUGUAGGACGUCUGCACGUCAUGUGAAUUUGUAACCAUCACCCUUCUGACAGGGUUGGUGUAAGGAUCCGGUGGACUGAUGGGUGCAAAGCCCCGAGCACAGUGCCUGGUACACAGCAAGUGCUCAAUACUUCUGGCCAGCCCUUAGGAGUGUUUCCUUGGGACCAGAGGGCUCUUCUGGAAGCCAAUGGCAUCUUCGCGUACCUGCUCUGAAAAAUUAUUGUUUGGGACUCAGCGCCCUCUAGUGGCUGCUCUCACUACUCACACAGCCCCUUCCUUCGAGGGGUGGACACUUUGAGGCCUCAUUCCUGCCUCCUCCCCUUCCUUUCACAUGGAAGAAAGCUCUAGAAUGGGAGAAAACUUUCCACUUCUGCAUUUCCUUUACCUCGUUCCUGACCUUAGGUCUGGGCACAGGAGGAGGGGCUUGGAGGUGGUGGCUGGAGCUUCUGGGGAUCCUGGGUGCAUAACUCUCAGAGGGGUGGUGCCUUCCUUCCCCACCCUACACCCACCGCACCGGCCCAUUCUCCUCCCAGAGCGUCCCUGGGCCAAGGGUUCCUAAGGUUUCCCCCAGACAGGGCCGGCGACAGCCCCGGCAGCGUAUCCACAGAAGUUAUUAUGAGGUAAUUUUAUUUCUUUCCAUUUUAGGUAAAAAUAGUAAAUACAAGAUAAUCUUAAUAAAGGUAAAAAUACAUCA